Molecule: long non-coding RNA, 886 nt
Organism: Heterocephalus glaber (naked mole-rat)
Lineage: Eukaryota; Metazoa; Chordata; Mammalia; Rodentia; Bathyergidae
Source: RefSeq, a predicted model, not a curated record
GCGGUUGCUACUUCUGUGGCCCCACAACAUGCUGUCUCUCGAGGCUGUGUUGUGGCUUGGUUGCUGCCAGGGUUCUGGACGCAGGGACGGCACCCUGACCCCCUAACGUUGCGCUGCCACCAUCAGCCAUAUACAGGUGUUCACAAUCCUCCCGAAACACUGGUUCGUGUGCGUGAGCCGAUCUGGCGGAGAGGCGCCCCAAGAGCUGGCCCAGCCCGACUUGGGCCACCCAUCCGCUAGGCCUAAGUCACCCCUUCCCAUUCCCCCUGCUCUUUAGCAUAGACCCUAAAGCCAGGAGGAAUGUGUGGUGGUUUUUGGUUUUUUGUUUUUUUGGUACCGGGGAUCGAUCUCUGGACCUUGUGCUUUCAAGGCAGCCUGCGGAACCACUGAGCCAAAUCCCUGGACCAGGAAUGUGUGUUUUAAUCCUGUUUCGGUGAGACCAUGGGCGAGUUACUUCCUCUUUUUGUAAUUCCUCCUUGUAUGUCAACGUUUUCACCUAAUUUGCCUUCAAAGUAUCAGGUGUCCUUGAAAGAAGAAACUGAGACAAUAAUGGUGCUGAUCUCUAGGUCCUCCAGAGCUGUGGGCUACAGGUGAAAGUGAGACUUUCAGAAACUGGGCAUUGCUGUCACUUCUGUUUUUCCUUUAAGAAGUUGUAUUUGAUGUUUGAUGCUGCACUUCUUGGGAAGGAAAAAGUGAAAGACCAAGAAGGGGGUGGCUUCUCCAGCAGUGGAGAGAGUAAACUGCCACACUUCACACACACAUGUGCCACCGAGCGAUCAGAGCAGUUGAAGAGGCGGUCAUGAAGCAGAAAAGAUGUACCAUGAGCCAAAAGAGCGUCCCGUUCCAUCUCCCCAAAACGGAUUCCUCCUUGGACGUUUCUUCCUCC